UACGGAGGGUGCAAGCGUUAUCCUGAUUCACUGGGUUUAAAGGGUGCGUAGGUGGGCAAGUAAGUCAGUGGUGAAAUCUCCGGGCUUAACCCGGAAACUGCCAUUGAUACUAUUUGUCUUGAAUACUGUGGAGGUCAGCGGAAUAUGUCAUGUAGCGGUGAAAUGCUUAGAUAUGACAUAGAACACCAAUUGCGAAGGCAGCUGGCUACACAAAUAUUGACACUGAGGCACGAAAUCGUGGGGAUCAAACAGG
Molecule: ribosomal RNA, 253 nt
Filed under: uncultured bacterium
Lineage: Bacteria
Description: partial 16S ribosomal RNA
Rfam family: Bacterial small subunit ribosomal RNA
Source: RNAcentral